AUGUUUCUGGAGGAGAUGAAGAGAGACACGCCAGACUUUGGUGAGAAGACGUCUCUCUCUCCUCUUCCUCCACCUCAUCUCGCUCUUCUCUUCUCUUCCUCCACCUCAUCUCUCUCUCCUCUUCCUCCACCUCAUCUCUCUCUCCUCUUCCUUCACCUCAUCUAUUUAUCCUCUUAUCUCUCUCCUCUUCCUCCACCUCAUCUCUUUCUCCUCAGCCUUCACCUCAUCUCUCUCCUCUUCCUCCACCUCAUCUCUUUCUCCUCAUCCUUCACCUCAUCUCUCUCCUCUUCCUUCACCUCAUCUCAUCUCUCUCCUCCCUCUUCCUUCACCUCAUCUCUCUCCUCUUCCUCCACCUCAUCUCUCUCCUCUUCCUUCACCUCAUCUCUCUCUCCUCUUCCUUCACCUCAUCUCAUCUCUCUCCCCUCUUCCUUCACCUCAUCUCUCUCUCCUCUUCCUCCACCUCAUCUCGCUCUUCUCUUCUCUUCCUCCACCUCAUCUCUCUCUCCUCUUCCUCCACCUCAUCUCUCUCUCCUCUUCCUUCACCUCAUCUAUUUAUCCUCUUAUCUCUCUCCUCUUCCUCCACCUCAUCUCUUUCUCCUCAUCCUUCACCUCAUCUCUCUCCUCUUCCUCCACCUCAUCUCUUUCUCCUCAUCCUUCACCUCAUCUCUCUCCUCUUCCUUCACCUCAUCUCAUCUCUCUCCCCUCUUCCUUCACCUCAUCUCUCUCCUCUUCCUCCACCUCAUCUCUCUCCUCUUCCUUCACCUCAUCUCUCUCCUCUUCCUUCACCUCAUCUCUCUCUCCUCUUCCUUCACCUCAUCUCUCUCUCCUCUUCAUUCACCUCAUCUCUCUCCUCUUUCUUCACCUCAUCUCUCUCCUCUUUCUUCACCUCAUCUCUCUCCUCUUCCUUCAACUCAUCUCUCUCUCCUCUUCCUCCAUCUCAUAUCUCUCUCCUCUUCCUUCAUCUCAUCUCUCUCCCCUCUUCCUCCACCUCAUCUCUCUCCCCUCUUCCUUCACCUCAUCUCUCUCUCCUCUUCCUUCACCUCAUCUCAUCUCUCUCCCCUCUUCCUUCACCUCAUCUCUCUCUCCUCUUCAUUCACCUCAUCUCUCUCCUCUUUCUUCACCUCAUCUCUCUCCUCUUUCUUCACCUCAUCUCUCUCCUCUUCCUUCAACUCAUCUCUCUCUCCUCUUCCUCCAUCUCAUAUCUCUCUCCUCUUCCUUCAUCUCAUCUCUCUCUCCUCUUCAUUCACCUCAUCUCUCUCUCCUCUUCCUUCACCUCAUCUCUCUCCUCUUCCUUCAACUCAUCUCUCUCUCCUCUUCCUUCAUCUCAUCUCUCUCCCUUCUUCCUUCACCUCAUCUCUCUCUCCUCUUCCUUCACCUCAUCUCUCUCUCCUCUUCAUUCACCUCAUCUCUCUCCUCUUUCUUCACCUCAUCUCUCUCCUCUUUCUUCACCUCAUCUCUCUCCUCUUCCUUCAACUCAUCUCUCUCUCCUCUUCCUCCAUCUCAUAUCUCUCUCCUCUUCCUUCAUCUCAUCUCUCUCCCCUCUUCCUCCACCUCAUCUCUCUCCCCUCUUCCUCCACCUCAUCUCUCUCCUCUUCCACCACUUCAUCUCUCUCCCCUCUUCCUCCACCUCAUCUCUCUCCCCUCUUCCUCCACCUCAUCUCUCUCCUCUUCCACCACUUCAUCUCUCUCCCCUCUUCCUCCACCUCAUCUCUCUCCCCUCUUCCUCCACUUCAUCUCUCUCCUCUUCCUCCACCUCAUCUCUCUCCUCUCCUCUUCCUUCACCUCAUCUCUCUCCCCUCUUCCUCCACCUCAUCUCUCUCCUCUUCCUCCACCUCAUCUCUCUCCCCUCUUCCUCCACCUCAUCUCUCUCCCCUCUUCCUCCACCUCAUCUCUCCAUCUUUCUCUCCUGUGUGUGUUUCCCCUGUCUGUUGUUCUACCAGGUUGGAAGUUUGGAGGGGUGUUUGGUCGUGCAGGGGCGUUCCCGACAGAUUGUGUCCGUCCCGUUGCUGCCCCUGA
Molecule: long non-coding RNA, 2016 nt
Organism: Oncorhynchus kisutch (coho salmon)
Lineage: Eukaryota; Metazoa; Chordata; Actinopteri; Salmoniformes; Salmonidae
Source: Ensembl